Molecule: ribosomal RNA, 491 nt
Filed under: Listeria monocytogenes
Lineage: Bacteria; Bacillati; Bacillota; Bacilli; Caryophanales; Listeriaceae
Description: bacterial SSU rRNA
Rfam family: Bacterial small subunit ribosomal RNA
Source: RNAcentral
UUGUCGUCAGCUCGUGUCGUGAGAUGUUGGGUUAAGUCCCGCAACGAGCGCAACCCUUGAUUUUAGUUGCCAGCAUUUAGUUGGGCACUCUAAAGUGACUGCCGGUGCAAGCCGGAGGAAGGUGGGGAUGACGUCAAAUCAUCAUGCCCCUUAUGACCUGGGCUACACACGUGCUACAAUGGAUAGUACAAAGGGUCGCGAAGCCGCGAGGUGGAGCUAAUCCCAUAAAACUAUUCUCAGUUCGGAUUGUAGGCUGCAACUCGCCUACAUGAAGCCGGAAUCGCUAGUAAUCGUGGAUCAGCAUGCCACGGUGAAUACGUUCCCGGGCCUUGUACACACCGCCCGUCACACCACGAGAGUUUGUAACACCCGAAGUCGGUAGGGUAACCUUUAUGGAGCCAGCCGCCGAAGGUGGGACAGAUAAUUGGGGUGAAGUCGUAACAAGGUAGCCGUAUCGGAAGGUGCGGCUGGAUCACCUCCUUUCUAAGGAA